AUUGAACGCUGGCGGCAGGCCUAACACAUGCAAGUCGAACGAGUGGCGGACGGGUGAGUAAUGUCUGGGAAACUGCCCGAUGGAGGGGGAUAACUACUGGAAACGGUAGCUAAUACCGCAUACCAUCGGAUGUGCCCAGAUGGGAUGAGCUAGUAGGUGGGGUAACGGAUCACCUAGGCGACGAUUCCUAGCUGGUCUGAGAGGAUGACCAGACACAGUGGAACGGAGACACGGUACAGAAUACUACGGGAGGCAGAAGUGGGAAAUAUUGCACAAAGGGCGCAAACCUGAUGCAGCCAUGCCGCGUGUAUGAAGAAGGCGUUCGGGUGGUAAAGUACUUUCAGCGAGGAGGCGUUGCUCGCAGAAGAAGCACCGGCUAACUCCGUGCCAGCAGCCGCGGUAAUUC
This 406-nucleotide ribosomal RNA is filed under the name uncultured bacterium. RNAcentral's name for it is "partial 16S ribosomal RNA". It matches the Rfam family "Bacterial small subunit ribosomal RNA", at positions 29 to 526 of the family's 1533-position model. The record is from RNAcentral.